RNAcentral lists this long non-coding RNA (212 nucleotides) under Elaeis guineensis (African oil palm). Its description in RNAcentral is "long non-coding RNA (EGUI_LNC048506)". The record is from RNAcentral. Lineage: Eukaryota; Viridiplantae; Streptophyta; Magnoliopsida; Arecales; Arecaceae.
AUGUUGCAGAAAACUAGCCAUUAUGCUAUCCUUUACUUGGGGUCGACUCUUUUUUUCUGGAGUCGACUCCUUUUGACUUUGAGUUAGCUCGAGUUUGUCAUGAGUCAGGUCAGUUUGCAGGAUCUAAAAAAUAGCACUCUGUUUUCUUUGAGAGAGCUGGCUUGGAUCCUUUUCGAGUCGGCUCACUUACAUGCCAGUCUUCUCUAGCAUGC